Molecule: long non-coding RNA, 470 nt
Organism: Setaria italica (foxtail millet)
Lineage: Eukaryota; Viridiplantae; Streptophyta; Magnoliopsida; Poales; Poaceae
Exons: 3
Source: RefSeq, a predicted model, not a curated record
CGAUGUCAGUCAGGCAGAGGGAGCUGCUGAUAAAAGAAAGAAGGUUCUGCAUCUAGGCCUGGUGAUGCAAAGAAAACUAAGAGGAGGCUGCAGCCAGCUGCUGGUAUGAUGCUCAAGGAAUUCACUGGUGCCGCGGACCUUGAUGUGGAUACGAAAAGGGAAGGAAGAGGCAAAUCAUCAUCCAGCGUGGCAUCCGGGAGAUCAGAUGAGCUGAUUCGACUUCUGAAAACCCGUCCAGUCCGUAGAGCAUAAUCCGGGAUGCUUCAUUUGUCGCAGCAGCUCGUUGCGUUGACAGUUGAAGAAACGCCAUGAAUCUGUUUAGUUUACUACUACUAGUAGUAGUAGUAGCAUGACGUGAAUGGAGUAAUGGACAUGGCAGUUCGGUUCUCAUUGUAUCUAUCGAUCAAUCUACCUGCUUUGCUUUGCGUGUUGAUUUCUAUCAUCAUUGAUUCGUGCAGUAUUUUUUUUUU